CUGGUUAUAUGAUGAAUAAAAUCAAAUCACCAUCUUUCGGCUGAGCUCGUGAUGGAUUUGCUUUUUUCUGACAAAGCUG
RNAcentral lists this small nucleolar RNA (79 nucleotides) under Castor canadensis (American beaver). Lineage: Eukaryota; Metazoa; Chordata; Mammalia; Rodentia; Castoridae. The record is from RNAcentral.